Molecule: ribosomal RNA, 253 nt
Filed under: uncultured bacterium
Lineage: Bacteria
Description: partial 16S ribosomal RNA
Rfam family: Bacterial small subunit ribosomal RNA
Source: RNAcentral
UACAGAGGUGGCAAGCGUUGUUCGGAAUUACUGGGCGUAAAGGGCGCGUAGGUGGCGACCCAAGUCGAUGGUGAAAGCUCGCCGCUCAACGGCGAGUCGGCCACCGAUACUGGGUUGCUGGAGCACUGUAGAGGCUCAUGGAAUUCCGGGUGUAGCGGUGGAAUGCGUAGAGAUCCGGAAGAACACCGGUGGCGAAGGCGGUGAGCUGGGCAGUUGCUGACACUGAGGCGCGACAGCGUGGGGAGCAAACAGG